This 787-nucleotide ribosomal RNA is filed under the name Bacillus subtilis. RNAcentral's name for it is "bacterial SSU rRNA". It matches the Rfam family "Bacterial small subunit ribosomal RNA", at positions 51 to 820 of the family's 1533-position model. Lineage: Bacteria; Bacillati; Bacillota; Bacilli; Caryophanales; Bacillaceae. The record is from RNAcentral.
CUAUAAUGCAGUCGAGCGGACAGAUGGGAGCUUGCUCCCUGAUGUUAGCGGCGGACGGGUGAGUAACACGUGGGUAACCUGCCUGUAAGACUGGGAUAACUCCGGGAAACCGGGGCUAAUACCGGAUGGUUGUUUGAACCGCAUGGUUCAGACAUAAAAGGUGGCUUCGGCUACCACUUACAGAUGGACCCGCGGCGCAUUAGCUAGUUGGUGAGGUAACGGCUCACCAAGGCGACGAUGCGUAGCCGACCUGAGAGGGUGAUCGGCCACACUGGGACUGAGACACGGCCCAGACUCCUACGGGAGGCAGCAGUAGGGAAUCUUCCGCAAUGGACGAAAGUCUGACGGAGCAACGCCGCGUGAGUGAUGAAGGUUUUCGGAUCGUAAAGCUCUGUUGUUAGGGAAGAACAAGUGCCGUUCAAAUAGGGCGGCACCUUGACGGUACCUAACCAGAAAGCCACGGCUAACUACGUGCCAGCAGCCGCGGUAAUACGUAGGUGGCAAGCGUUGUCCGGAAUUAUUGGGCGUAAAGGGCUCGCAGGCGGUUUCUUAAGUCUGAUGUGAAAGCCCCCGGCUCAACCGGGGAGGGUCAUUGGAAACUGGGGAACUUGAGUGCAGAAGAGGAGAGUGGAAUUCCACGUGUAGCGGUGAAAUGCGUAGAGAUGUGGAGGAACACCAGUGGCGAAGGCGACUCUCUGGUCUGUAACUGACGCUGAGGAGCGAAAGCGUGGGGAGCGAACAGGAUUAGAUACCCUGGUAGUCCACGCCGUAAACGAUGAGUGCUAAG